CACGUGUAGCAGUGAAAUGCGUAGAGAUGUGGAGGAAUACCGAUGGCGAAGGCAGCCUCCUGGGAUAACACUGACGUUCAUGCCCGAAAGCGUGGGUAGCAAACAGGAUUAGAUACCCUGGUAGUCCACGCCCUAAACGAUGUCGAUUAGCUGUUGGGCAGCAUGACUGCUUAGUAGCGAAGCUAACGCGUGAAAUCGACCGCCUGGGGAGUACGGUCGCAAGAUUAAAACUCAAAGGAAUUGACGGGGACCCGCACAAGCGGUGGAUGAUGUGGAUUAAUUCGAUGCAACGCGAAGAACCUUACCUGGUCUUGACAUGUACGGAACCCUCCAGAGACGGAGGGGUGCCUUCGGGAGCCGUAACACAGGUGCUGCAUGGCUGUCGUCAGCUCGUGUCGUGAGAUGUUGGGUUAAGUCCCGCAACGAGCGCAACCCUUGUCAUUAGUUGCCAUCAUUAAGUUGGGCACUCUAAUGAGACUGCCGGUGACAAGCCGGAGGAAGGUGGGGAUGACGUCAAGUCCUCAUGGCCCUUAUGACCAGGGCUUCACACGUCAUACAAUGGUCGGUACAGAGGGUAGCCAAGCCGCGAGGUGGAGCCAAUCUCACAAAACCGAUCGUAGUCCGGAUUGCACUCUGCAACUCGAGUGCAUGAAGUCGGAAUCGCUAGUAAUCGCAGGUCAGCAUACUGCGGUGAAUACGUUCCCGGGUCUUGUACACACCGCCCGUCACACCAUGGGAGUGGGGGAUACCAGAAGUAGGUAGGGUAACCGCAAGGAGCCCGCUUACCACGGU
This 792-nucleotide ribosomal RNA is filed under the name uncultured bacterium. Its description in RNAcentral is "bacterial SSU rRNA". It matches the Rfam family "Bacterial small subunit ribosomal RNA", at positions 670 to 1463 of the family's 1533-position model. The record is from RNAcentral.